This is a long non-coding RNA of Brienomyrus brachyistius, 676 nucleotides long. RefSeq lists it as uncharacterized. Lineage: Eukaryota; Metazoa; Chordata; Actinopteri; Osteoglossiformes; Mormyridae. The transcript has 4 exons. The record is from RefSeq and is a predicted model, not a curated record.
CCCGCAUUGGCGCCCGGCGGUUUCGGCACAGGAAAUGGUUACGAGAGAAAGAGAGAGGGGGGAAAAGAGAGAAAGCUGUGAAAAAAAAACAAAACAAGAGAAGAUGGUCCUCUGAAGUGCGGUGUGGGUCCCACAGAUGGCUCCACCUCCAGGAACGUCACGCGGAGGCUGCUCUUGGAGCGUCGUGCCACGGACCACCGGAAACUGGCCCAAGAAUGGAGGACGUGGAUGAAUCAGAUGAAAAAGAAUAGGCAGUGCAGACAAUGAUGGAGCUGUGGAGCCUUGAAGGGUGACAGUCACGUCCUGGCAGUAAAAGGUGCUGCCGUGAAAACGGUCUGAGGUUCAAGUAUGCUGCUGAUCAGCAGUAACAGAUGACACCUCCUGGCGGAAGACUGGACACAGUGAGGGUCACAGUAACACAAACAGUGCGGUAAAGAUCUGCGUCUCCGUCUGAGUGCCUCUAGAGGAGGCCUGCUGGUCAGGCCACGGCACUGCAAACGCUACAGAUCAAUUCCUGAAAUAAGAAUGUGAAAUCCAAGAUGUCGGAAUGGCGGUGACAUCGUACUAACGGAUCAAACAAGUUCAAAGAUCGUCAGACUUACACUUUCAGCCCUGGGGAAUCCUCUGUGUAGAAGCGCCACAUGCCCCCUGUGCCUGCCGACGUGGUGGACCGUCC